RNAcentral lists this ribosomal RNA (253 nucleotides) under uncultured bacterium. Its description in RNAcentral is "partial 16S ribosomal RNA". It matches the Rfam family "Bacterial small subunit ribosomal RNA", at positions 524 to 776 of the family's 1533-position model. The record is from RNAcentral.
UACGGAGGGGGCGAGCGUUGUCCGAAGUUACUGGGCGUAAAGCGCGCGUAGGCGGGUUGGUAAGUCCGCUGUGAAAGCCCGGAGCUUAACUCCGGAGGGUCGGUGGAUACUGCCAGUCUUGAAGGUGCUAGGGGGAGAUGGUAUUACCGGUGUAGCGGUGAAAUGCGUAGAUAUCGGUAGGAACACCAGUGGCGAAGGCGGUCUCCUGGGGCAUUCUUGACGCUGAGGCGCGAAAGCUGGGGGAGCAAACGGG